UAACACAUGCAAGUCGAGGGGCAGCGGUGGUGAAGGCUUGCCUUUACCAGCCGGCGACCGGCGCACGGGUGAGUAACACGUAUGCAACCUGCCUGCCACAGCCGGAUAAUCGGGAGAAAUUCCGUCUAAUACGGCAUAAUGCAUCGACGGGACAUCCUGUUGGUGCCAAAGGUUGAUUCCGGUGGCGGAUGGGCAUGCGUCGCAUUAGUUAGUUGGCGGUGUAACGGACCACCAAGACGACGAUGCGUAGGGGUUCUGAGAGGAAGGUCCCCCACACUGGUACUGAGACACGGACCAGACUCCUACGGGAGGCAGCAGUGAGGAAUAUUGGUCAAUGGGCGGGAGCCUGAACCAGCCAAGUCGCGUGAGGGAUGACGGCCCUAUGGGUUGUAAACCUCUUUUGCCGGGGAGCAAAGUGCCGCACGUGUGCGGUUUGGAGAGUACCCGGAGAAAAAGCAUCGGCUAACUCCGUGCCAGCAGCCGCGGUAAUACGGAGGAUGCGAGCGUUAUCCGGAUUUAUUGGGUUUAAAGGGUGCGUAGGCGGACGCUUAAGUCAGCGGUAAAAUUGCGGGGCUCAACCUCGUCGAGCCGUUGAAACUGGGUGCCUUGAGUGGGCGAGAAGUACGCGGAAUGCGUGGUGUAGCGGUGAAAUGCAUAGAUAUCACAAAGAACUCCGAUUGCGAAGGCAGCGUACCGGCGCCCAACUGACGCUGAAGCACGAAGGCGUGGGUAUCGAACAGGAUUAGAUACCCUGGUAGUCCACGCAGUAAACGAUGAAUGCUAGUUGUCCGGGGCGAUUGAGUUCUGGGUGACACAGCGAAAGCGUUAAGCAUUCCACCUGGGGAGUACGCCGGCAACGGUGAAACUCAAAGGAAUUGACGGGGGCCCGCACGAGCGGAGGAACAUGUGGUUUAAUUCGAUGAUACGCGAGGAACCUUACCCGGGCUCAUACGCAGGAGGGAUGUUUUUGAAAGGAGGCAGCCAGCAAUGGUCUCCUGCGAGGUGCUGCAUGGUUGUCGUCAGCUCGUGCCGUGAGGUGUCGGCUUAAGUGCCAUAACGAGCGCAACCCCUACCUACAGUUGCCAUCGCGUGAUGGCGGGCACUCUGUGGGGACUGCCUGCGCAAGCAGUGAGGAAGGCGGGGAUGACGUCAAAUCAGCACGGCCCUUACGUCCGGGGCGACACACGUGUUACAAUGGCAGGUACAGCGGGAAGCCACCCGGCGACGGGGCGCGGAACCCGAAAACCUGUCUCAGUUCGGAUUGGAGUCUGCAACCCGACUCCAUGAAGCUGGAUUCGCUAGUAAUCGC
Molecule: ribosomal RNA, 1309 nt
Filed under: uncultured bacterium
Lineage: Bacteria
Description: bacterial SSU rRNA
Rfam family: Bacterial small subunit ribosomal RNA
Source: RNAcentral